Molecule: ribosomal RNA, 503 nt
Filed under: uncultured bacterium
Lineage: Bacteria
Description: partial 16S ribosomal RNA
Rfam family: Bacterial small subunit ribosomal RNA
Source: RNAcentral
AUUGAACGCUGGCGGCAGGCUUAACAUAUGCAAGUCGAGCGGGGUGAUGGUGCUUGCACUAUCACUUAGCGGCGGACGGGUGAGUAAUGCUUAGGAAUCUGCCUAUUAGUGGGGGACAACAUCUCGAAAGGGAUGCUAAUACCGCAUACGUCCUACGGGAGAAAGCAGGGGAUCACUUGUGACCUUGUGCUAAUAGAUGAGCCUAAGUCGGAUUAGCUAGUUGGUGGGGUAAAGGCCUACCAAGGCGACGAUCUGUAGCGGGUCUGAGAGGAUGAUCCGCCACACUGGGACUGAGACACGGCCCAGACUCCUACGGGAGGCAGCAGUGGGGAAUAUUGGACAAUGGGGGGAACCCUGAUCCAGCCAUGCCGCGUGUGUGAAGAAGGCCUUAUGGUUGUAAAGCACUUUAAGCGAGGAGGAGGCUUACCUAGUUAAUACCUGGGAUAAGUGGACGUUACUCGCAGAAUAAGCACCGGCUAACUCUGUGCCAGCAGCCGCAGUAA